GCAAAGAGUGAGCAUAAGGGGAUCGAAAUUAGAUAAUAUAUAAAUGCUCUCUGGCAAGAUCCUACAGAUACAAAAAGAGCGGGUGAACAUGUACGAUCUUAUGAGUCGUCCGAAUCAAAUGCAUUCGAGAAGAAAAUCGGCGGAAGGGCUGAAAUUUGCAUAGCAGUCUCUCCCAGAGGUUGAGCCUAGCUCCGCUGAGAAAGUAAGACGGCACGAAAGACAUUGCUCUCAAUACUGAUCCGGGUUUAGACGAUCCGAAUACUCCAGUGGGGAUUCGUAAACUUUUUCUUGUAUCUUCUGUUUCUCUCCAGAUUUGGUUUAGCUGUUACUGUCCAUCCCAGCGAAUGUUCAGUUUUGAGCAAUCGACGAUGGUGGCAAGCUGGGCGUUCUAUACUCUCAACAGCAGGGACACAGAAACAGAGCAGAAAAGAGCAGAGUAAUACCGUGGCUAUUCAAGGCCAAUUCGAUGAUUACGGGAGGUGACGCUGUAUGUGUGAGUAUCAUCGGGAAUAAAGGCACGACGACGAAGCACCGCCGUGAAGUGGGUUGCCGGCAGAAGACUCGAAUCAAGGAAAAACGCCAAGACAGGGAGCUGUCAAGUCCGUAUCUGCAAGGCAGUUUUAAGGCGAAACCAGCACUUCCAGGGCAGUAAUUGAGGCGUGGGAUGAGCGUAUGGAACUUCAGGAAUGGAUGAAUAAAGGUUUGAACGAGAAGAGCAAGUUCAUGAACGGCGAAAAUUGAGGAUCCGAAAACAGAGCCUCUCGGCCAAACUCAUCUGAGCCGACAUGGGGGAUCGCCUGAGCUCGAGCAGGUGUCGGCAACUGUGGGACGUUGUUCUAGAGGCUCAGCUGGUGUUACAGUGAGAGAGCUCAUUGGAAUGGUGAGCUGAGGGAGAAGACUCGUGAGAGCUCCCUGGUGCCAGAGAGAGGACCCUUCGGUCCUGUGGGCGUGUGUGGAGGAAUCCAGGAGUGCUCAAGGUGGAGCUUACCAGUAUAGGACAACUCUAUAUUCCC
This 1013-nucleotide long non-coding RNA is filed under the name Eucalyptus grandis. Its description in RNAcentral is "long non-coding RNA (EGRA_LNC001942)". Lineage: Eukaryota; Viridiplantae; Streptophyta; Magnoliopsida; Myrtales; Myrtaceae. The record is from RNAcentral.